This is a non-coding RNA of Solanum lycopersicum (tomato), 5306 nucleotides long. The record is from RefSeq and is a predicted model, not a curated record. NCBI's taxonomy places the organism in Eukaryota, Viridiplantae, Streptophyta, Magnoliopsida, Solanales, Solanaceae.
CCGUAGCCCACGUACUUUGGGCUGGACUAAUCAUUUUUUAGCCCACACAAAAAAUGGACUAGCCCAACCUGAUCUGUCAAAUUCAAAGCCCUAGGUUAACUCAGAUGGGAUGUGGCUAGCCUAUAUUAACAGUCCUAGGUCUAACAAUUUUGCCGAAUCCCUAAUGGUAGCUGAUGCAAGGGGUCAUAUCAUUAUCAUCACAGCAGUAGUUACUCACCUCAUGUAUGGGCAACACUAAUUGCUGGAGUAUUCAUUGUCAUCUCUCUCACACUCUCUAUGUACCUUACAAAAAUCCGGAGGAACAAAUGUUUUUGAUUGGUGUGAUUUUGAUGGUGCCUUGUUAUGCAGUUGAAUCAGUUCGUUUCUUACGAUCAUCCCUUAUGCAUAUUACUUUUGCAAAAUUGUGAGUGGAGGGACUUGAUUUUAGGUAGACACAAAGGUUCCUUCAAAUCCUUGGUCAUCUACCCGGCUAGUCGGCUACCCCCGAGCUUUUCUGAUGUGUGCCCACAUUUCCCUGACAAACGUGCACACCACUUCCUCUGGUGGAGGAAAUAUAUUAUAAAACUUCAAUGAAUAUGGGACACAAGAAUGACGGUGGAGUUGCUAUGGUUUUGUUGAAGCAAAAAAUUCUAAAAAGCCUAUUGUUAAGACGUACCAAAAAGGAAAGAGUUGCUAAUUUUUCACUUCCCAGUAAGACUGUUAUCAUGAGAAAAGAUCCUUUGGAUGUGAGUGAAUUUAACUACUACAAGUCAUUGCACUAUAGAAGUCGGGAACAGUUUGAUUGACUAGUCUACGCUGGAACUCUGAUGAAUAACUAUGGUCACAUUUUUGCUGUGAUCACACGCCUUCGGAAUGUACCAACAUUCCUACUCCUCAUUCUUUUUCUUACAACACUCCUACUCAUGACCCUUAUGAUUUGGUCACACAAUCUCUGUCCAGUUUUCUUUUCUUGCAAAAAUUCAUUUUCUGUUCUCUCCCAUAAUCCUUUUUUAAUGACAAUACAUUUCUUAUGUGCGCAUAGAUAAGAAGCUGAGGUACUGAGUGAAUUGAGAAGGCCUACAACCAUGUGAAUUGAGAAGGACUCGAGGGUGAAACAAAAUAAACUAGGAUUUCUUUGCAAGCUCGACAUUGAGAAGGCCUACGACCAUGUGAAUUGGAAUUUCCUCCUCAAAGUGUUGAGCGAUAUGGGGUUUGGCGACAAAUGGGUCAACUGGAUUAAAUUUUGCAUGUUCAUUGUGAAAUUUUCACUCAUAAUUAUGGUAAUCCAGAGGGUUCCUUUCAAUCACAAAGAGGUCUGCGACAAGGUGACCCCAUGUCACCUUUUCUGUUCAUUCUAGCUAUGGAAGGCCUAAACUUCAUGAUUAGAAAAUAUAGGGAGAAUGGAUGGAUCAGAGGUUUCUGUGCUAACAUAAAUAUGAAAAAUGCUAUGGAGAUAUCUCAUCUACUGUAUGCAGAUGACUCCCUUGUAUUUUGUGAUGUAGAAGUUACACAAAUAAGGCAUCUGAGAGUUAUCCUAACAAUCUUUGAGGGCAUUUCGGGACUUCAUGUCAACUGGCACAAAUGCUGCCUCUAUUCAGUGAACCAAGUCCCUAGUAUACAGAUCCUAGCUGAGAAUCUAGGAUGCCUAGUGGCCUCCCUUCCCACUACAUACCUAGGAAUGCCUCACGGAGCAAAAAUGAAAGAGCUCACUUUUAAUUUUAUUGAAUGUAGAGGGAAAUUAGGUUCAUGGUUGAAAGGGACGGUUCUGCAAAAGAAAUAGUUUUCAGCCAUUUCACUUCAUUUUUGGAUCUGAUACAGUAUUCUCUUAAUGUGUGAUAUAAUGAUAUUUUCUCCUUCCUACUUUCCAUUCCUCUUUUCAGUCUGAUAAAAAAAUGAAGGUUGUAUUGUGUGUAUUCAACUGUUGGGCAUCAAUUGUGUUCAAUUAAUUGGAUCGAUGUCUAUUGUCGCAAGAGAUGCUGCAGUUAACACAUUCACUGAUGAUAAGUGCUAGUGCUCCUAGAUGUUUGAUGAUAUCCUCACAAGUGCAUGGACCCGUCUCUUUGCAAAGUAUGAAUACUCGUCCAAUGGCGAAAUGCUGUAAAGCUGUAAAAACUAUUUGCGGCAGAAAGUUGGUGAAGGCGCAGGGUAUUGCACCAAUCAUACGCGACGAGGUUGUUUGUUCGUUGGAUAAUAAUUCUUCAUGGUAUAUAUCCUAUGACAAACAACAAGACAGGGUGUUCAAACAUCAGGGACCUUAUAGAGUGUUUCGUUUGCUUUCUGUAUCAGUUGUUACUAUUGUUGCUUGUAAUUGUGCUUAUAUUUUAGGAUUUGUUUCACUUGUGAUAGAAACGUUUCUAGUAUGUUUGAAUCAUUGUAAGAUCUAGGUUAAGAGUAACUUAGGGUCUUACUGUAAAUUCUAUAUUAAUUAGGCAAGAUUAGUAUAAUGGACGGUGUUGUAUCUACUAUGACUCGUCUAAGUAUUAGGUGGUAUUGCUUAGUGUGGAGAUUAGCAGGUUUAUCUCAUUUUGUAAACUGACUUUUGUUUUUGCUUUGAGAAGAUUUGUGGAAGCAGUUUGAAAAUUCUUGGUAGACAGGUCGUGAUUUACUCCCUUGAGCAAGGAGGUUUGUUUCCACGUAAAGUUGUUUGUGCAAUCUUUACUUUCAGCACUUAUUUUAUUGUUUGUUAUUAUAACUGUGCUGAGUACAUGCUCCCAUCAAAACCUGUGGACGCAUAAAUUCCAACAACUGAGGAUUCAAAUUGCAAGAUAUUACUUAUGAGUUUAAAAGCUAGAGCUGUUGCUCUCAAUCUUACAGUUGCAUCAAAUGUUUUAUUAAUGGAGCCUUGUGGAAUCCUGUGGUGGAGCCGCAAGCCCAAGAUAGAAUCCAUCAAAUAGGGCAAUAUAAACCUGUCUGAAUUGUGAUAGAAAUACAAUUGAAGAGAACAUCAUAGAGUUACAAGAGAAGAAGAAAUUACUUUUUGAAGGGACAGUCUGUGGUUCUUCAGAGGCCUUAGGAAAAUUAACAUGGAGAGUCCCUUAAACUUGCAAAUAAAUUUCAUUUAGUCACUUGUUACUUAGCUGAAGUUUAAUUUUAUAGCCUUUCAAGGUCUAAGAACUUAGAGCAACUUCCAAGUUGCUCAUUGUCAUCUUGAAUAUAACAUGUAAACUCUUUAAAUGCCAUUAACUUGUGUUGAACGGAUUUAAAUACUUCUUACUUAGGGAAGAAAACUUAAAUAUGCCAUCUAAAUUUCAGAAAAAAAGCUCAUUUAUGUCCUUCAUUAAAAGUUUGGCUCAUUAUGCCAUGCCGUUUAAGAAAAGGCUAAUCCAUGCCAUUAUUCUUUAACUCUGGUAUUGCAAAAUCGUUUUUAUCUCAACAAGACCCCAAACAACUUGUAACACUUUUUAAUUGAGGUUUUAAAUCAAAUGUACUCUUUUUACUUCUUCCUAGUCAAGAACACAUGAAGAACGUCAAAGAAACUUCCAAAUUUCCAACUUCUUCAAUUCUAACUGAAAAAUGUCAAAAGUUGUUUACGUCUUGUUGAGGAAAAAAAUAAUUUCAUGAAAGAACCUUUUUUCAAAUAACAAUGACAAUGAGCCAAACUUUUAAUAUGGGACAUAAAUGAGUCUUUUCUCAAUAUCUAAUGACAUAUUUAACGUUUUCCCUUUUCUUUACAACAAUGUAUGGAUCAAUUUCUAAAUAACUAUUUCGAAAAAGAAUAGGUUUGUUGGAAAGGAUAGUUUACUUUUAUUUUACUUUAGUUCACUAAAUAUUGUUGGAUAUCAAGUUCUAAACAUAAAUAUGUUACAGUAGGCAAAAAGUCCUACAUUGAUUGUGAAAUGGACGGAUAUUCUGUUUAUAUGGAGUUGGGCAAUUUUUCUCCUCAUGAACUAGAUUUUGGAGUUGAGUUAGUUGCAAGUGUUAUAUCUUUAUAUGGUAUCAGAGCCAGAUCCAUCCCAAAAUCAACCCUUUUGGGCUCCCAGUCUACGCUCUAGUCGGGCCUUUUGGGCUCUCGGUCCACUUUCCACUUGGGCCUGGGCAUGAGGAGGUGGUUCCCUUUUGGACUCUCGUCCCACGCUCCAAUUGGGCCUUUUGGGCUUUCGGUCCAUGUUCUAGCUAAUCCUGGGCGUGAAGGGAUGGUUAAAGUGGGUAAAAGGUCCAAAUUGAUUGGCAAAUGACCUAGUAGUCUGAUUUCUCUGUGCUUUCUGGGGAAAUGAAUCCUCCAAUUCCGGGUUCGUCUUCUUGUUUGUUUUCUUUUGAAGCUCUUGAGUUUCUUGAAAGUUCGGUUGAAAUUGAAUUAUUUUGAAUGACCCAAAAUGGAAAAUAAUGAAUGACAUGUAAAUCGGAAUAGCAUGUGAAUAGGUUCAUCAUGUUGUGCCCUAGUUUUGAGUUGUUAUCUUUAAUUUUAUCCUAUUUUUUAUUUAUUCCUGUCAAAUUCCAUAUGGAUGCUCCAUCUUGAAAUGCUAAUGCUCAUAAAUGUUUUGAAUUGAUCGUGUAAUUUUCUAAUAAAAUUGAUUAUUGUUCGUGUUACUGAAGACCUAAGAGACGAAAAUACGGAUUCAGAUCGUAGAUACCGAGACAUGUUGAGAAGGAUAGAUCAAAGGAGAAAUCAACGUGAGUGGAUGCAAAACAUAAGAGGAUUAGUUUUGACAUGGAAGAUAAUGGAACAAGAAAUGAAUGAAUUCCUUUUGGAGAAUUAUUCAGAUGGUUUAGACUUGGAUAUUCAGAAUGUGUCACUUGCUGAAACUGCCGAGCCACCAUCAGAUUUCCUCUUGCCACUAUUGAGGUACCAAAAGGAGUGGUUGGCUUGGUCAAUAAAGCAAGAAACAAUAUUCAAAGGGGGCAUUCUUGCGGAUGAAAUGGGUAUGGGGAAGACGGUUCAAGCCAUAGCACUUGUUCUUGCUCAACGGGAAUUAAAGAAGGCAACUAAUGGUUCCACUAUAUUGUUGUCUUCACCUGGUACUUCCCAGGAACUCCCAACAAUAAAAGGAACUCUUGUUGUAUGUCCUUUGAUUGGAGCAAUGCAAUGGAUUCAUGAGAUUGAACGUUGCACCACUAGAGGAAGCAACAAAAUUCUUUUUUAUCAUGGCACCAAUAGGGAGAAAUGUAUGUACAAACUGAAGGAAUAUGACUUUGUAAUUACUACAUACUCCACUCUCCAGGCUGACUAUAUGCCAAAAAAGAAAAAGCAGAACAGCAGUGUUGGUGAAGAUGUGUCCACGAGGAAUUCAGUUCUGCAUUCAGUGAAGUGGGAUCGUAUCAUUUUGGAUGAGGCAAGUCAUACAUUCAUAGAUUCAUGCUUUAAGUUUUUGUUUUCGUAACUUGGCAUU